CGUGAGAUGUUGGGUUAAGUCCCGCAACGAGCGCAACCCUUGCCAUUAGUUGCUACGAAAGGGCACUCUAAUGGGACUGCCGGUGACAAACCGGAGGAAGGUGGGGAUGACGUCAGGUCAUCAUGGCCCUUAUGGGUAGGGCUACACACGUCAUACAAUGGCCGGUACAGAGGGCUGCCAACCCGCGAGGGGGAGCCAAUCCCAAGAAAACCGGUCGUAGUCCGGAUCGUAGUCUGCAACUCGACUGCG
This 249-nucleotide ribosomal RNA is filed under the name uncultured bacterium. Its description in RNAcentral is "partial 16S ribosomal RNA". It matches the Rfam family "Bacterial small subunit ribosomal RNA", at positions 1066 to 1320 of the family's 1533-position model. The record is from RNAcentral.